CAUCAAACUUGCCUUUCUUUUUCUGUGUAGUCAGGGAGAGAGAUGGCAGAAUGUGAGGUGUCUCGCUGGCUCCCUUUUCGGAGGAGAAGACGCGAGUCCCUUUAAAUGUACGUUCGCUCUUUCUUGUGUCUAAGAUGAAGUGUGAUUCUCGAAUCGCGGUGAUCUGUUUGGAUCGCUUUGCGCAUUUGGGCGACUUCGGUUAGGACAUUAAAGGAAGCAACCUCUAUUGGCGGUAUGUUAGGCUUCGGCCCGACGUUGCAGCUGACAGAGUGUGGUUUUCUGUUCUUUCCUUGAGGUGUACCUGAAUUGUGUGAGGCAAUGGUCUGGGCAAAUGGUUGCUGUGUAGUAGGGUUUUGCUGCUCUUGGACGCCCUGUUUUCGGAUAGGGUAAAGGAGGCAACACCAAUUUGGGACUGUUUGCAAUUUAUUGUGAACAACUUUCUAA
This 444-nucleotide unclassified non-coding RNA is filed under the name Pythium aphanidermatum. RNAcentral's name for it is "ITS2". Lineage: Eukaryota; Oomycota; Peronosporomycetes; Pythiales; Pythiaceae. The record is from RNAcentral.